This is a long non-coding RNA of Acanthopagrus latus (yellowfin seabream), 1488 nucleotides long. RefSeq lists it as uncharacterized. The record is from RefSeq and is a predicted model, not a curated record. The transcript is spliced from 5 exons. NCBI's taxonomy places the organism in Eukaryota, Metazoa, Chordata, Actinopteri, Spariformes, Sparidae.
UUAUGGGCAAAGUAGAGCACAAAAAGAGUAGAUGUGCAGAUUGUGAAGUGCUUCUGUCAGGUAGAUUCAGAUUGUGCUGGCAAUGCAGUGCUCACAGAUUUAUGAUUCAAAGGAGCUGCUCACUGGGAAAACACUGGCAAUAUUUUUAGGCUGUAUCAUGGUUACUGAAGAGAGGGACAAUCAGCUGACUCUCUAUCUGGCUUCCUUACAACUUUUAAAUCUAUACAGUAAUUUCUAAUUCCUAAAUGAAUUAAAAAAAAAGAAUUCUAGAACUGGGAGACAAAAAGACAAAAGCCUUUAAAACCAGGAAAAGACAAUAAUUGUGCCACGUGGUGAUAUAACAACAUCUAAAAUAGUCUCAUAUCACAACAAUGAUAUUAUAUUGAUAAAUUGCCCAGUCCUGGUUCCUAUCAGCUUCAAAGUACAGAAGCCCCACUGCCUGACAAACACACUGUGGCACGCAUUUCCCUGCAUCAUUAGGUCAUCGGGAAAACUGGCUGCCUUUCUGGGAAAAGUAGGCCACCUGCUCAUUAUGGAGCUCCACCAUCCGCUGAUCAAUCAUGAAAGUAACUUGGGCACAGCUCAGCAGAAACACGGACUAAGCAUCUCUUGUCCUGGGCAUCAAUCCAAAUGCCACUGCCUCACUCAUUCAUGGAGUACAGACAGAUUUGGUGACAUUUCCCUUUUCCGCACACUGGAGGCAGCACUGGACCAGUAUCCCUAUGCAGACACAGAGGAUGUAUGCCGCAACGAGUCCAUCUGAGGUGGAGUGCUGCUGGUGCAAACUCAGCAGUCUGCGACUCCAUCAAAUCUCAGUAUGCCAGCAGUGGACUAAAAAUAGUUAGAAAGAAAGGACCCAACCACAAGACACACACAGGGGCAAGUGGGCAGAGGAGCAUGCAAGUUCGCUUCUGGACGGAGGGUGCUGUUCCCUGCGGUGCUGACUGACAGGAAUAAAUCAGGAAUACAGGAGGCGCAUGAGGACUGGGGAACAGGCACAGGAGCACAGGAGAUGUGUGGUCGAAAACAGGACUGGCACACAGAGAGAGAGAGAGAGACACUGGGAACAGGGCGCUGCUAUCAGGGCCAAUGACUGACAGUAAACACCUGGAUUCCACAUUGGUUCAGUAUGUGUUGCGAUGUGUUGCUGUGGAAAAACAAGCUGCUGAGAACACCUCUCUCCAUGCCGCAUGUCUCAAAGAGAUCUGAUUCAUCUCACCGAGUCACUAAGGUGAAUUCCCCGUACAUUUGGCGACGGGAUGGACACUCUGCUUAUCGAUGCCAUGCCUGGACUGAAGGUUAAACUGCCGGUGGGAGCCUCAAGAAGACUUAGUGAAAGCCCCUCUGCGACAAAGCAUGAGUGUAGUAAUCAAAUAGUUGGAAAGUCCACCAGUUCCUUUGUGGUCUUGGUAUUAUAUUGUACGGGCUUACACAUCUUUCUCUUAAGAGAAACGACAUUAAGUGAAGCAAUAAAACAGCAAUGAAACA